UUUAUCAAGAGUAGCGGAGGGACUGGCCCGUUGAAGCUCGGCAACCGUUCACGUUUUACGUGAAAAGGUGCUAAUUCCAGCAGAACAUGUAUGUUUUGAAAGAUAAGG
RNAcentral lists this non-coding RNA (108 nucleotides) under uncultured Ferdinandcohnia sp. RNAcentral describes it as "SAM riboswitch (S box leader)". It matches the Rfam family "SAM riboswitch aptamer (S box leader)". From Rfam's summary of the family: The SAM riboswitch is found upstream of a number of genes which code for proteins involved in methionine or cysteine biosynthesis in Gram-positive bacteria. The SAM riboswitch acts at the level of transcription termination control. Lineage: Bacteria; Bacillati; Bacillota; Bacilli; Caryophanales; Bacillaceae. The record is from RNAcentral.